This is a long non-coding RNA of Helianthus annuus (common sunflower), 2018 nucleotides long. RefSeq lists it as uncharacterized. The transcript has 3 exons. Lineage: Eukaryota; Viridiplantae; Streptophyta; Magnoliopsida; Asterales; Asteraceae. The record is from RefSeq and is a predicted model, not a curated record.
ACACACAUAAGUGUGUUUCUGGUCGACAUUUUCACCAGACAAGAAAAGAUUCUUCUCUUGAACCCUAAAUUACAAAGAAAUGCUCAAAUCGAAGGGGAAAUCAAGCUAAAAAUUGGGGAUUUUAUUAAAUUCGUGAUCACCAAGUCAUGAGGAUCACAAGUUUGACUCUUGACGAGCUAGGUGAAGCUUGGAGGAGAUGAUCAAACGGGAUAAAGACACAAGUAAGAUUUGCUUGGAUGAAAGGUAAGUAAAGCUUACACCUAUUUUUUUAGCAUACGUAUUUAUUCUAUAGGUGAUAAAUACAACAAUAGAUCAUGUUCGAAUUAUGGGUUCCGACACGAAACGAAAUGGGUUGGAACGAAUAAAAAUGUUUAAAAUCAUGAUUAAUGGUGAAAGAGGUAAAAUGGUAAUUUAGUCAUAAAUCGACUAAGAAUUUAUGAGUUUUCUUAAAGUUACCUCAUAGCUUAACUAAUAAUGGAAAAAGGGGUAAAAUGGUAAUUUAGUCACGUGAUGACUUAUUGUAAUCGAGAUUAAAAGGAUAUCCACGGCGUAAGCCGAACUGGGUCAAAUAUGUAAGAAAAAAAGGAAAUUUUUGUGGUAAAAUCCGUAAUGGGUCGGAUGCGUGAUUGAGUAAUUAGAAACCAUGAUUUGUAAUAAAUAUAAUUGUUUGGUCGUAUAGACCAAAUGGGUCAAAUGAUGGUGAUAACAUCAUAUGACCAUAUCGACUAAUGUUGGUUGUUAAGUCAUAUGUUUACAGGAACGAAUAGCAAUUUGGAUAAUUGUGUCGUCAUAGAAUAUUGAAUUAAUAAUAGCAAGGGAUAAACGGGUCUAUACGUUGACUCGAGCCAGAAAAUGCAGGUUCAGAUAUAAACAUGCUGGAAACUGGUCUCCCCCGCGGCACGCGAAGGGGAAAUAAGGUCCGGGCGCGACACGCGAUAGGCGUCGCGGCACACGACACAUCUACUUGAGUCUCUUGCGACCCGCGAGAGACAUAAAGGCUGGAAAAAUUAUUUUUGGUUAAUUGCUUGUUGCGUAGAACUUGUUUAAACUUAUAUUUAAGUUAUCAAAACUACCUUUUAGGUUGGUUUUGAUCAUAGGUGAAUAUCGAAAGUACCCGGAUGAAGAUCAAGCGAUGAGAAAGAACCGAACACAUGAAGAAGAAGCUUCCACACGUUGUUUCGUCGAAAUUUUUUAAACGACAAACUAAACUACAUUAUGUUGUUCUAAAUUUUAAAUUGUAAAAGUUUUAAUAAACCCGUGCUUUGUAAUGUAUAUGUGCUCUUAAUCACAUGUUUAUUAUCGUAAAUUAUACGAAAAUCGUUAAAUAAUAUUAAGGGUGUUACAAGUUGGUAAUCAGAGCUCAUGGUUAAAGAGUAAAGUGUGUUCGGUUCGAAGCUUGAUCGCAAAUCCGGUAAGUACAUUUAUGUUAAUGGUUUAGUAUGAUUAAAGUGUUGCGAACAACACAUAGGGUUAUCGUGUAAUACUGGUUACCCCAAUGAAAAUGAUGGUAUAGUUAACGAAAUCACGUGCAUUGACACGUAUAGUAAAAAGCCUUGUAUAACAAUACGGGUGUUUAUUAAUGUCGAAAUUACUAACUCUUGUAAAUAUUUAGUUGAAGGAUACUCGCAUCUGAAGAUGGCGAGAGUGUAACAAGUGACGGACAUGACAGAGGAACGGUCCGAAGUACGACAAGUAGAGUAUGCUCAUCAAGGACCUAAAUCGCGUGAUGACCGCGAACAAGGUUAAUGACAUGGAAAGCCCAUUAGGGCAAGCAUUACUAGGCGCACACUUUUAAAUUAAAUCGCACAAAUAGUAAUAUGCAACAAACAUGUAGAGAAUGACGGUUGCAUACGUAGGAUAAAACUUGGGAAACCUGAAUAGGAUAUCUAUUCAGGAUGAUGUUUCUAAGUGAAAACAAAUAGAAACAUGUGUUAUUCACCAUUGUGAAUAACAAGACAAUAAUAGAAAUAGUUUAUGUGAAAACUUGGACGGGAAUAAAUAUCCAAGUGAAUUAUUCU